CCUACGGGAUGCAGCAGUGGGGAAUAUUGGGCAAUGGAGGAAACUCUGACCCAGCAACGCCGCGUGAAUGAUGAAGGCCUUCGGAUUGUAAAGUUCUUUUCUUAGGGAAGAAGAAAGUGACGGUACCUUAGGAAUAAGCCUCGGUUAACUACGUGCCAGCACCCGCGGUAAUACGUAGGAGGCGAGCGUUAUCCGGAAUGACUGGGCGUAAAGGGUGCGUAGGUGGUUUGGCAAGUUAGUAGCGUAACUCCAAGGCUCAACCUUGGAACUACUGCUAAAACUGUUGGACGUGAGUGCAGGAGGGGCAGGCGGAAUUCCUAGUGUAGCGGUGGAAUGCGUAGAUAUUAGGAGGAACACCAGUGGCGAAGGCGGGUUGCUGGACUGUAACUGACGCUGAGGCACGAAAGCGUGGGGAGCAAACAGGAUUAGAUACCCCUGUAGUC
Molecule: ribosomal RNA, 443 nt
Filed under: uncultured bacterium
Lineage: Bacteria
Description: partial 16S ribosomal RNA
Rfam family: Bacterial small subunit ribosomal RNA
Source: RNAcentral